GACGAACGCUGGCGGCGUGCUUAACACAUGCAAGUCGAACGGAAAGGCCCUGCGUUUGUGGGGUGCUCGAGUGGCGAACGGGUGAGUAAAACGUGAGUAACCUGCACUUGACUUUGGGAUAACUUCAGGAAAAUGGGGCUAAUACCGGAUAGGAGCUCCUGCUGCAUGGGGGGGGUUGGAAAGUUUCGGCGGUUGGGGAUGGACUCGCGGCUUAUCAGCUUGUUGGUGGGGUAGUGGCUUACCAAGGCUUUGACGGGUAGCCGGCCUGAGAGGGUGACCGGCCACAUUGCUACUGCGAUACGGCCCAGACUCCUACGGGAGGCAGCAGUGGGGAAUAUUGCACAAUGGGCGGAAGCCUGAUGCAGCAACGCCGCGUGCGGGAUGACGGCCUUCGGGUUAUAAACCGCUUUCGCCUGUGACGAAGCGUGAGUGACGGUAAUGGGUAAAGAAGCACCGGCUAACUACGUG
RNAcentral lists this ribosomal RNA (468 nucleotides) under uncultured bacterium. Its description in RNAcentral is "partial 16S ribosomal RNA". It matches the Rfam family "Bacterial small subunit ribosomal RNA", at positions 28 to 507 of the family's 1533-position model. The record is from RNAcentral.